UGCCGUGAUCGUGGUCUGC
Molecule: non-coding RNA, 19 nt
Filed under: Arabidopsis thaliana (thale cress)
Lineage: Eukaryota; Viridiplantae; Streptophyta; Magnoliopsida; Brassicales; Brassicaceae
Source: RNAcentral